CCUACGGGUGGCAGCAGUGGGGAAUAUUGCGCAAUGGGCGCAAGCCUGAUGCAGCCAUGCCGCGUGUGUGAAGAAGGCCUUCGGGUUGUAAAGCACUUUCAGCGGGGAGGAAGGCGGUGAGGUUAAUAACCUCAUCGAUUGACGUUACCCGCAGAAGAAGCACCGGCUAACUCCGUGCCAGCAGCCGCGGUAAUACGGAGGGUGCAAGCGUUAAUCGGAAUUACUGGGCGUAAAGCGCACGCAGGCGGUCUGUCAAGUCGGAUGUGAAAUCCCCGGGCUCAACCUGGGAACUGCAUUCGAAACUGGCAGGCUAGAGUCUUGUAGAGGGGGGUAGAAUUCCAGGUGUAGCGGUGGAAUGCGUAGAGAUCUGGAGGAAUACCGGUGGCGAAGGCGGCCCCCUGGACAAAGACUGACGCUCAGGUGCGAAAGCGUGGGGAGCAAACAGGAUUAGAUACCCCGGUAGUC
Molecule: ribosomal RNA, 465 nt
Filed under: uncultured Klebsiella sp.
Lineage: Bacteria; Pseudomonadati; Pseudomonadota; Gammaproteobacteria; Enterobacterales; Enterobacteriaceae
Description: bacterial SSU rRNA
Rfam family: Bacterial small subunit ribosomal RNA
Source: RNAcentral